GAGGAUGAUGAUUUUUCUGUCGCCCCAGUCCUAUCGAUCCCACAGCCAGGGAAAGAUUCAUGCGGAUGGACGGACGCGCAAGCGUCUCUGACUC
RNAcentral lists this small nucleolar RNA (94 nucleotides) under Chlamydomonas reinhardtii. RNAcentral's name for it is "CrCD28 snoRNA". Lineage: Eukaryota; Viridiplantae; Chlorophyta; Chlorophyceae; Chlamydomonadales; Chlamydomonadaceae. The record is from RNAcentral.